AUGAGGAGGGACCAAACUGAAGAAUAUCACAGCCCUAAAACAGGAUCAGACAGUUGCUACAGGCUCAGCGAUUGGCAACAGCUGGUGAAUAGGGCCAUGACCACCUUCAUCACGGAAACAGCCAUGCAUAACCCUGAUCUAGAAGCUGGCUGGGAUCCUGACAAAGUCAUGCCACACAGAUCUGUCUGAUUCUAUAGACAUUUAUUUAUACCCUGACAACACUGGGCUGCUGAGGACUUUAUAAGAUCCUGUCUGGCUCAUGUUCCAACCCCCUGACCUCAGCAUUAGAUGAGAGGAUGCUGACUGGGACGCCCUUUGACUUUGACAGCCGAGGAUGUGACACCCAUAUGUGUGCAUGGAAUAAUGCUGACCUACUGGAUUUUUUACACACCAGAGCAGGCAUAUGUACUAUUUUGGGGUAAGUUGUCUAUUUAUAAUUGAGUCUUAAGAGACAUGUUGUCAUCAGCUGCAUAAGAGAUUCACUAUAGGACAAAACAUCAACAAACAGUUCACCCAACAAUGAAAAUUUGCUGAAAAUGUACUCUACCUCAGGCCAUUCAAUAUGUAGAUGAGUUUGUUUCUUCAUAUGAAGAGAUUUGGAGAAAUUUAGCAUUACAUCACUUGCUCACUGGUGUAUCCUCUGCAGUGAAUGGGUGCCGUCAGAAUGAGCCAAACAGCUGAUAAAAACAUCACAAUAAUCCACAAGUAAUCUACACAACUCCAGUCAAUCAGUGAACAUCUUGUGAGGCAAAACGCUGCAUGUUUAUAAAAACAAAUCCAUCAAGAUGUUUAUAAGAUACAAGUUCUCCAUAAAUAUUGAUUUCUCCAGUGCAAAAGUAAUCUUGUCUCAAUCAGGAGAGAAAUAUACAUUGAUCAUGCAUCGUUUAGAAGCCAAAACA
Molecule: long non-coding RNA, 899 nt
Organism: Cyprinus carpio (common carp)
Lineage: Eukaryota; Metazoa; Chordata; Actinopteri; Cypriniformes; Cyprinidae
Source: Ensembl